AAGUCGUAACAAGGUCUCCGUAGGUGAACCUGCGGAGGGAUCAUUACUGAGUUAGGGAGCAAUCCCGACCUCCAACCCUUUGUGAACGCAUCAUGUUGCUUGGGGGGUGACGCUGUCGAAAAUUACAGUAGCCCCCCCGGCCAUCAAAAACACUGCAUUCUUACGUCGGAGUAAAAAGUUAAUUUAAUAAAA
Molecule: unclassified non-coding RNA, 192 nt
Filed under: plant metagenome
Description: partial contains small subunit ribosomal RNA and internal transcribed spacer 1
Rfam family: Eukaryotic small subunit ribosomal RNA (bases 1-46)
Source: RNAcentral